Molecule: unclassified non-coding RNA, 1399 nt
Filed under: Hevea brasiliensis (rubber tree)
Lineage: Eukaryota; Viridiplantae; Streptophyta; Magnoliopsida; Malpighiales; Euphorbiaceae
Source: RNAcentral
AGUAGACAUCACUUGUAAUAGAAUCUUUGCAAAUAGGCCUCAAGAUUAGUAUAGAGGCCCUCAGACGCCCAUCGACAUGAUUAUUCCCACGGAGGAAUGAUUUGUGUUUGCAAUACCAGGCUUAAGCACUUAUUUACUGACACUGUAGUUUUAAUCCAUCAACACUCCAGACUUGCAACAAGAGGCAAAAUGACAUAGACAGCAGCAGUUUAAAGGAAACAGUGCUGUUGGAAGUUAAAAUGAAUCAUAGGGUUUUCCUGUUCUAAUUUGAUAAUGAUGACAAUAGAAUUUAUAGACUCUAUCAUGGACCUCUUUUCAGCCUCCAAUUGACAACAAAAUUGAAGCACAUGAGACACCAAUUACAGUCCUCAUGUAUCACACCCUUCAUUAAGAUGUGUUGGUCCUACAAACACAAAAAGACAUUGACUUAAGAUGAAGCAUUAAGCUCUGACCAAUUACAUGCAAUGUGUUGCAGUCACAGUAGGAAGCUUAAGCCCUGGUCUGGAGGUCCGUCCUUUACGUUUCCUGUAUUCCUCAAUAAUCUGUAACCGAAUCCUUUCUCGUGAAGCAUCUGGGACAUUCUUAAGUACCUUAGGAACAGCAACCAAUUUUGGUGGAGCUUGGACAACAUAUCCAAAUUUUAUCUGUUCACGUUCAGGAAAGUCCAAAUUCUCCUGUUCUGGACUUUUGGCGUUUUUUCUCCUUUGCUUCCAAAAACCUAAAUUAAUUUAAAAUGUGAUCAUCUAGAUGUUCAAAAAACAUGCCUGAGCUCAGUCUGUGAAAAGGAAGAAUUCAAGAAGAUUGGCAAAUGAUAGAGAUAACAUACUUGUUAUUCAUCAUUAAACAUUUUAUCUCAAUUCUAAAGCAAUUGAAGGCUGAGCAAUGAUGUGACUUUUAUUCACACCAAAACGCAGCCGAGAGAAAACUUUCAACAGUCUUACAACCAUAACAAAACCCUAACGGACGAAGCAAAAUGGAAGGAACAGUUUCAGCAUCACUGCCUCCCCGUUUCUACUUUCUCUUCAGUAGACUUGGAAGGAUUAGCAGAACCUAAAAACACGAAACAAAUCCGCAUAACUAUUUCUGUGCAUAUAUAAAGAUUGAGAGACAGAGAUAACCAUCAAGAAGAUGAGAAGUGAAGGACAUGAUCUGGCGAAGUUUGGAGUGAAGAGCGUCGACUUGGGAGAGGUCGGGUGGCGGCGGGCGACGGGUGCGGCCUCCAUGCGCCGCUACGUAAUUCUUCUCUAUCCUUUUUCUUCCUUUCCCUCCCAUCCCUGUUUCCUUCUCUCUCAAGUCCCAACUCUACUUCCUUUCUUCCUUCGCAGAUGUUGGGCAAUGGCAACGGGGCAAUGGCAAUAUCCGUUCAGCUAAUCUGACGGUCCAUGUUCCAAAAUUCUUU